UAGAAGAGUUCUUUGUCUACGUGGCAUUACAGGAAUUGUUGAGAUUGAGAGAGAGACUUAAAAAAAAUUUAGAAGAGAAGAAGAAUGGAUUCACGAACCAAGGCGAAGAAAGAAGAAUGGAUUCACGAAGGCCAAUUUAUAAAUCUGAUUUCUCACGUCUUCUCCCUUUUCCUUAAUUCCGGAGUUCUUUAUUUUUAUUUUUGACUCGCAAUCUCACAACGAACAAAGCUCGAAGAAGAACGGAUUCACGAACCAAGGGGAAGACGGUGAUGGAAGUUGGUAGCAAUGGCGUUGCCGUCAUCACACUCAUCAAUCCUCUUGUCAAUUCUCUCUCUUUCGACGAUAUGCAAACCGAGAUAGGCUAAGCCCCGAGCACGAGAGAAUGAAUGUUGAGAUGCUGCUACCUUAUCACCCUGAGUUUGAGAAGAAGAUCAGAUGUGGGAUAGACUAUAUCAUGGUUGGGCAUCACCCAGAUUUUGAGAGCUCUCGAUGUAUCUUCAUAGUGCGAAGAGAUGGAUUGUUUGUUUGGUUUUUAAAAAAAAAAAUUAUUUACAAUGUUUUGUUGUUUCAUAGA
This is a long non-coding RNA of Camelina sativa (false flax), 574 nucleotides long. RefSeq lists it as uncharacterized. The record is from RefSeq and is a predicted model, not a curated record. Lineage: Eukaryota; Viridiplantae; Streptophyta; Magnoliopsida; Brassicales; Brassicaceae.